This 442-nucleotide ribosomal RNA is filed under the name uncultured bacterium. RNAcentral's name for it is "partial 16S ribosomal RNA". It matches the Rfam family "Bacterial small subunit ribosomal RNA", at positions 338 to 795 of the family's 1533-position model. The record is from RNAcentral.
CCUACGAGCGGCAGCAGUGGGGAAUAUUGGGCAAUGGGCGCAAGCCUGACCCAGCAACGCCGCGUGAGCGAAGACGGCUUUCGGGUUGUAAACUUCUGUUCAGAGGGAAGAGCAUAAGACGGUACCUCUUGAAUAAGCCACGGCUAACUACGUGCCAGCAGCCGGUGUUAUACGUAGGUGGCAAGCGUUUUCCGGAUUUACUGGGUGUAAAGGGCGUGCAGCCGGGAAUCAAAGUCAAAUGUGAAAUUCCGAGGCUCAAGCGCGGAAAUGCAUUUGAAACUGUUCUUCUUGAGUGCCGGAGAGGUGAGCGGAAUUCCUUGUGUAGCGGUGAAAUGCGUAGAUAUAAGGAAGAACACCAGUGGCGAAGGCGGAUGACUGGACGGCAACUGACGGUGAGGCGCGAAAGCGUGGGGAGCAAACAGGAUUAGAUACCCUAGUAGUC